Molecule: small RNA, 166 nt
Filed under: Arabidopsis thaliana (thale cress)
Lineage: Eukaryota; Viridiplantae; Streptophyta; Magnoliopsida; Brassicales; Brassicaceae
Description: ATSL111430
Source: RNAcentral
AUCCAUUGUUGUAGAAAUGUCUAUACCAAACCAAAACUGGAUCGGAACUUUGUCUAUCAAACUGGUUUGAUCUAGAUUUUAGAACUUAGUUUUCUAAACGGUAAUUCUCUUGAGGAAUUUAUCGCCUUCUUCAAUAUACGGUAAAAUAUUCAUCUGAUAAAAAAAA